Molecule: unclassified non-coding RNA, 340 nt
Filed under: uncultured fungus
Lineage: Eukaryota; Fungi
Description: partial contains 5.8S ribosomal RNA and internal transcribed spacer 2
Rfam family: 5.8S ribosomal RNA (bases 1-133)
Source: RNAcentral
UGGUUCUCGCAUNGAUGAAGAACGCAGCGAAAUGCGAUAAGUAAUGUGAAUUGCAGAAUCCAGUGAAUCAUCGAAUCUUUGAACGCACCUUGCGCUCCUUGGCAUUCCGAGGAGCAUGCCUGUUUGAGUGUCAUGUUAAAUAUCAGCCCCAUGGGUUGGAUUUUGGACGCUGCGGGAGCCUCUUCCGCUCGUCUCAAAUGCAUUAGCGGGGUUUCGGGACCCAUUGCUGGCGUUUAGUAAUGCUUGCGCCGCGCGGGGUUGCUCGUCCGCUCACUAGACCCGAUGCCGUCGGCGUCGAACUUGACUUUUCGGCCUCAAAUCAGGUAGGAUUACCCGCUGA